Gymnodraco acuticeps is the source of this 385-nucleotide long non-coding RNA. RefSeq lists it as uncharacterized. NCBI's taxonomy places the organism in Eukaryota, Metazoa, Chordata, Actinopteri, Perciformes, Bathydraconidae. The transcript has 4 exons. The record is from RefSeq and is a predicted model, not a curated record.
UGUUAAUCUUUCUAGGGAGUUAACCAAUGAUAGUGAAUAUCAUCAGGAUGACUCUGGGGGUCUUGAUGCUGAUUCCUGUGUUUCUCCUGAGUCUGUGGACGAGGAAGAAGAAAGCUCUGCGCUCCACCACUGAAGCACCUGAAGAGAUAGAGUUGGACUCUAUCCCUGAGUAUGAGAACGACUCACACACUGCAGCACAGACAGAAGACACAGAGGAGCAGGGAGACAUGGUGUGAAGUCCACUCAGAUGCUCUCCUGAUAGAAACAAAGAAGAAGGACGUUGAAAUGUCCCUGAGGAGAGCAAGGCUGUGCAGGAUGUGUGCGAAGUUGAUAUAUUCACGUUCAACUCUUAGAGCUUUUAUAGUCAGUGUUCAGCAGCAGCAGC